This is a non-coding RNA of Oryctolagus cuniculus (rabbit), 3361 nucleotides long. Lineage: Eukaryota; Metazoa; Chordata; Mammalia; Lagomorpha; Leporidae. The record is from the annotation of a RefSeq genome assembly.
UGGCUCCCUGCUUCAGCUCGGCCCAGGCCUGUUAGGGCCACUUAGGGAGUGACCAGCGGAUAGAAGAUGGCUCUGUGUCUAACUCUGCCUUUCGAAUAAACAUGUCUUAGAAGUGAAGUAGAAAUCGAAGCUUCAUGACUGUUACGUCUCGCCCCUUCCACUUCUCCAGACACUAGCAAACAUACACACACAUGCAGACACUCAGACACACAUGGAAACACAUAUGCAAACAAUCACAGAAACACACACAUGCAAACACACCCAAAAGCAAACACACCCAAAAGCAAACACACACACAAGCAAACACUCAGAUACACACAUGCAAACACUCACACAUGCAAGCAUUCAAACACAUAUGCAAACACUCACACAUAUACACAUACACAAGGCACACUGCACCUGUUCCUAUGCUCAGAGUGUUGAGAGCCUCAUGGAAGGCAUCGGAGUCACCAGUCAGAGGAGCCUGCUCAGUACUGGGGAAACUCAGCCACAGGUUCAAGUCUGCUCACGUCCCCUGCAGUCAAGGGCAAGAGCUCAGAGGGACCAAACUGCAUCCAAGCAACUUUGCUGAACCAACAAUGAAGAGAAACACAGGGACAAAUUGAAAACCGCCACAGGCCCCAUGAGGACAAGCUCACACUGCAGACAUUCAUUCAAAAUUGCUACAGAACAGCAGGACACUCUGAGCCACGGCAAAGCAGAACAGGGGAUCCACGCACUGCGGCCCCUGAAUGUGCAGAUUCCACCCUUCUAGACCUGGACAGGAAAACAGUGCCGGCACCCGCAGCCCCAGAGAGCUGAUUCCUAUGUCACACGGAGAAAUGGAAGAGAUAACAUUGAACUAUUAGAAUUUCUGCCAAGGACACCUGGAAAGCCUGAGACAAGGUAGUCUACGCAAUUGAUGCAUCAGAGUCUGGUUCCCACCAGCCCAACACUGGCUGCUGUGUGUAUCUUUGGAGUAAACCAGUGGAUGACAGAUCUAUCUCUGUCUUUCUGCCUUUCAAAUAAAAUGAAAAUAAUUUAAAAUUUUCAAAAAAUAAAAUUCCUAUGAUCUUUUAAAACCACAUGUGGGAGACACCAAGAUAGCAGAAUAGGGAGAGGGAGGGAGCUUACUGAUCUAGUUUAGGGGCGGAUAGUUUUAAAAAAAACAUGGAGAGUGCAAUCUCAGGGAAGAGUUAGGGAGAAAAUGGCAGAAGAAACUCCAUGCAAAUGAGAGGGACACUGUGGAUCUACGUAGAAAGUGUGGACAUGCACAACUCAGGACCCCAGCAGCUGAGAGCCUCAGCACCAGCUUUGGAGAGUGAGGUGAGACCAGACUGCAGCAGUCCAAGCCACAGGCGAUAAAGCUGUGGGAAGAGCCCAGCAUGAGUCCUGCUUAGAGCCCUGCAGGGGACAGUAUUUCUGUCAACCUAGAAAGGAAAAUAAGGGGCUCGUUUCUCUCUCCCUGACCACCUGGCACUGGCAUCCUGUAACUAGCCGAGACAUUUUGGACAUAUGUGACUGCUGCACCAGCUUGUGUUCAUGCCCAGCAACUAGCAGAGAGAAGACACCAAAGUUUGGUUGGGAGAACUGCCAGGGAUCUGGGUACUUGGGACUGUGAAAACACUGGCUGCGUGUGAGGGUACAGGGUGUGGCUGGGUCUUUGGACAGUCGCUCCUCACACUUGGGGCUCCCUGAAUCCCUGGUGAGGAUCACUGCUGCGCGAUCCAUGCUCACACUGCUUGGUCCUCUGUGCGGUUCUUGUGGCAGCGCAAAUGAAUAUUAUACCCACUGGGGCUGGCAACCAGGCAUUGGUCAGCUUGGAGGAGAGGAGGUGAGUGUGAGACUAUGCCAAAAGAGCAGAUUAAAACUCCCCUCUGAUAAAAAAUAUUAAAAUAAGAGGAGAUUUACCAUGCCCAAUUUGAGUGUCACCUUAGACACUCCCCUCACCUUGAGCACUGAAUGAGCUCCCUGGCCACACCCAGCACUACCCCUGGGUAUUGACUGAAAGAGCAGACACUCCACCGACCCACAGAGGCAUAGCAUCUCCACAAACGCUUAAAAAUAAAUGCACCAAUUCAGGAAACAAGAAAACAUGACACCUCCAAAGGAACACAACAACACUUUGAUAUUAGUGAAAAAGAAGAGAUUGAAGAAAUGCUGGAAAUAGAGUUCAAAAAAUUGACUGUGGGAUUACUUCGAAGUAGUCAGAGGGGCUGGCGCUGUGGCAUAGCAUGUAAAGCCGCUGCCUGCAGUGCUGGCAUCCCAUAUGGAUGCCAGUUCCAGUCCUGGCUGCUCCACUUCUGAUCCAGCUCUCUGCUAUGGUCUAGGAAGAAGGUGGCCAAAGUCCUUGGGCCCCUGCACCUGUGUGGGAGACCGGAAGAAGCUCCUGGCUCCAGGCUUCAGACUGGCUCGGUGCCAGCUGUUGCAGCCACUUGGGGAGUGAACCAGAGAAAGGAAGAUUUUUCUUUCUCUCUGCCUCUGCCUCUCUGCAACUCUGCCUUUCAAAUAAAUAAAUAAAUAAAUAAAUAUUUAAAAAAAAAAGGGUCUCAGAGGCAAAGGCAGAUGUCCAGACCUGAGAAGCAGCUCUGAGGAAGCUGGGAUUCUCCUCUUCCCCAGCCCCUGUUCUGCCUGCACAGCUACUGAGACUGAGCCCUGCUCUAUGGGGAGCCCCAGGGGAGGAGGGAAUUUGCAUAAACACCACCAUCCCUGCCCCACAGCCUGAGAGGAAAUAAGAGAGGCCUGGGGAGCCCAGCUGUGCUGUGAGCUCUGGAGGCAGCGCUGGGUGACUCCACCAUGGCCUGGACCCCUCUCCUGCUCCCCCUCCUCACUCUCUGCACAGGCUGCGUGGCCUCCUAUGAGCUGACACAGCUGCCAUCAGUGUCAGUGUCCUUGGGACAGACAGCCAGGAUCACCUGUGGGGGAGACAGCAUUGAAAGUUAUGCUGUGCACUGGUACCAGCAGAAGCCAGGACUGGCCCCUGUGCUGCUCAUCUACAGGGAUAGCAAGUGGCCCUCAGGGAUCCCUGACCGCUUCUCUGGCUCCAACUCGGGGAACACUGCCACCCUGACCAUCAGCAGGGCCCAGGCGGGGGACGAGGCUGACUAUUACUGCCAGGUGUUUAACAGUGGUUUUGGAGCUCACAGUGACACAGGCAAAUGGGGAAGUGAGAUACAAACCUGUUCCCAUGAAGCACACUCUCCCUGCAGCCCAGAGGGAUUGGUGCCAGAGCCAUGAGCAGGUCAGGCCCAGCUCACCCAUUUCUGAGACCCCCAGGCUGCCCUCUCCUCCCAGCCUGCAGGCUAGCUCUACAGAGGCUUGGUCAGGGCUGGCAGAAUAUGGUUGUCCAGGUCCAGGUGUGUGCUGGGCUGCAGGGGGAACU